This 429-nucleotide ribosomal RNA is filed under the name bacterium. RNAcentral's name for it is "partial 16S ribosomal RNA". It matches the Rfam family "Bacterial small subunit ribosomal RNA", at positions 355 to 776 of the family's 1533-position model. The record is from RNAcentral.
UGGGGAAUUUUGGACAAUGGGGGCAACCCUGAUCCAGCAAUGCCGCGUGUGUGAAGAAGGCCUUCGGGUUGUAAAGCACUUUUGUCCGGGAAGAAAUCGCACCUGAUAAUACCGGGUGUGGAUGACGGUACCGGAAGAAUAAGGACCGGCUAACUACGUGCCAGCAGCCGCGGUAAUACGUAGGGUCCAAGCGUUAAUCGGAAUGAAUGGGCGUAAAGCGUGCGCAGGCGGUUGUGCAAGACCGAUGUGAAAUCCCCGGGCUUAACCUGGGAAUUGCAUUGGUGACUGCACGGCUAGAGUGUGUCAGAGGGGGGUAGAAUUCCACGUGUAGCAGUGAAAUGCGUAGAGAUGUGGAGGAAUACCGAUGGCGAAGGCAGCCCCCUGGGAUAACACUGACGCUCAUGCACGAAAGCGUGGGGAGCAAACAGG